CCGGAUUAAUACCGCAUACGCCCGUUAGGGGAAAGCGGGGGAUCUUCGGACCUCGCGCUAUUGGAGCGGCCGAUGUCGGAUUAGCUAGUAGGUGAGGUAAAGGCUCACCUAGGCGACGAUCCGUAGCUGGUCUGAGAGGAUGAUCAGCCACACUGGGACUGAGACACGGCCCAGACUCCUACGGGAGGCAGCAGUGGGGAAUUUUGGACAAUGGGCGCAAGCCUGAUCCAGCCAUGCCGCGUGAGUGAAGAAGGUUUUCGGAUCGUAAAGCUCUGUCUUUGGGGACGAAUAAAAUGACGGUACCCAAGGAGGAAGCCCCGGCUAACUACGUG
RNAcentral lists this ribosomal RNA (332 nucleotides) under uncultured bacterium. RNAcentral describes it as "bacterial SSU rRNA". It matches the Rfam family "Bacterial small subunit ribosomal RNA", at positions 158 to 507 of the family's 1533-position model. The record is from RNAcentral.